CCUACGGGAGGCAGCAGUGAGGAAUAUUGGUCAAUGGACGAGAGUCUGAACCAGCCAAGUAGCGUGAAGGAUGACUGCCCUAUGGGUUGUAAACUUCUUUUAUAUGGGAAUAAAAUGUUCCACGUGUGGGAUUUUGUAUGUACCAUAUGAAUAAGGAUCGGCUAACUCCGUGCCAGCAGCCGCGGUAAUACGGAGGAUCCGAGCUUUAUCCGGAUUUAUUGGGUUUAAAGGGAGCGUAGGUGGAUUGUUAAUGCAGUUGUGAAAGUUUGCGGCUCAACCGUAAAAUUGCAGUUGAAACUGGCAGUCUUGAGUACAGUAGAGGUGGGCGGAAUUCGUGGUGUAGCGGUGAAAUGCUUAGAUAUCACGAAGAACUCCGAUUGCGAAGGCAGUUCACUGGACUGCAACUGACACUGAGGCUCGAAAGUGUGGGUAUCAAACAGGAUUAGAUACCCUAGUAGUC
RNAcentral lists this ribosomal RNA (460 nucleotides) under uncultured bacterium. Its description in RNAcentral is "partial 16S ribosomal RNA". It matches the Rfam family "Bacterial small subunit ribosomal RNA", at positions 338 to 795 of the family's 1533-position model. The record is from RNAcentral.